This is a long non-coding RNA of Mus musculus (house mouse), 920 nucleotides long. RefSeq annotates it as predicted gene 10522. NCBI's taxonomy places the organism in Eukaryota, Metazoa, Chordata, Mammalia, Rodentia, Muridae. The transcript has 2 exons. The record is from RefSeq and is a predicted model, not a curated record.
GCCUGUGGAUCAAGAUGUAGAACUCUUAGCUUCUUCUCCAGCACCACGUUUGCCUGCACACUGCAGUGUUUCCUGCUGUGAUAAUAGACUAAACUUCUGAAAAUCUUUAUUUAACUGUUGCAGAUUAUUCCACGGACCAAAUGGUGGAUGUCCAGGACCCUGCAAGCAAGUUUCCUGCAUCUCGAGACUGCUUUCCAACCCCAGUAGACUGAGCACCUCACCCUCUCCUGCCACACUGAACCUUUAGAGUUACAGAAAACAUAACGGCUGAUGCCGUCCAUGAAUUCUAGGCACAGGUGUUCGCACUGUCCCUGUGAACCAGUUCGGUACAGCACUUUGGCUACCCUGGUCAACUUGAUAAGCUGCCCGCAACUCCUGUCCAUCCUGGCAACCGUCUGGUGGAGACUAUUACUUGUUUCUCUAAGAGGAGAUGGGUGACUGAGCCUAGCUUGUUGGGUUUUUUGGGUUUUUUUUGGUUUUUUACCUUAUAACCGCUGUCAACACUAUUUGCUGACUCUGCAGAAAAGCCAUGUUGGAGAAAAAACAUCUCAGAUGCAGAGGGCAGACUGAAGGGUCCCACACAGAUACAGAAAUCACCUUAUCCCACAGCCUUUUUCUAGACAGCAUCAUCUGCUCUCCACCACUAUUCAGUAAGGCAGAGAAACGAGUCUGUGGACUCUACACACCCUCAAGUCCAACCCUUUGUAAGAACACCCUGGUAGGCAUAACUGGGGCCUUAGCCUGCUUUCUCCUUGUCAGUUUGGUGGGUCUUUUAAGCUAUAUGGGUCUUUCUUAAGCUAAUUUGAGUUUCUACACUUUGUCUGACAGUAAGAAUGACUCCUUGUCUUGUACGUGUGUGAACCCGAGUAUCUUGAAGAUUAUUUUUGGACUACAUUAAUAAACAGAUACUGUUGCCUGUC